UUAGAUAACAAUGACUACUGGCUUCCCAAUCAUAAUUUGAGACAGAUAAAUCUGUACUUUAUUGAUAGCAGAAGCAGAUAGCCCUAAUCACUAAACACCAGCACAAUCUGGUUUCUGUAGGAUAAUGACCCAUCUCUAUAUUCAUAACAACAAUCUCAUUCAUCAUAAUUCACAUUAAAAAAAGAAGAAUAACUCUAGUCAAGCUAAUGGAAGAAACGUGUGAAAAGUGAUUGGAUGGGUAAAACUCUGUAUGCAGCUGGAGAGUCCUAAUUGAUUAUAUUGUGCUGCAACUAAGCCUUCUGCUUGUACAUCAGAUCUUUAUCUAACUACAUUUCAAUUGAUUUUCACUGAUAGUCUUCUUUUUUAUGUCUAAGGUUUAAAGUACUAAACUAAUAAAAGGAUAAAAGACUUUGUAAUACAGAUUUCAAAAUAUAAUGUCCAAGCAGGACGUCCAUGGAAUAAGAGGGCAGAUUGAAUGUAUACAGCCCACCCAACCAGAACCUGUGAAUUUUAAUUUAAAAUAAAGAAAGAGAUUGGGAUUAAAGUCUGUAUUUGAAGAGUCUGAAGCAAAACACCAACUCAAACAUUCAAAGAUACAAGUGUCUAAUUUUUUUAUGAUAGAAUGUAGAGAUGUAGGACAAAAGAUUACCCAUUUAGUAGCUAUAGUAUAUAGUCUUAUGUAAUGUACAUAUUCAAUGUUUAGUCCAAAAUCAAAAUGCCAUGAAUUUAGCUCUCUCAUUAAAUAAUGAUGGGUUUGGAAACAAGUCAGGUGCAACAGAUAGACACUAUGUAACUUCCACUUAAAAGACCUACUAAAUUAAUUGGUAUACAUAAUCUCAAAAUAGCACUGCUGAACAGAAUAUAGAAUGAGGGUAUAAACUUCCAUCCUUGAGAAUAUAUUUUGAUAGUUUAAUUGCAUACACUAAGUUAGACAUAUCUAAAGUGCACCAUUUACAAGUUUUAACAUAUGUAUACACCCAUGAAAUCAUCACCACAAUCAAGAUAAUGAACAUAGUGUAGUGAUCACUGCCAAAGGUUAAAUCAUGCCCCUUUGUAAUCCAUCUCUCUUCCUGCCCCAUUUGGAUAUCCAGGAAACCACUUCUUGCUUUCAGUUACCACAGAUUAGUUAGCAUCCUCUAGCACAUUAUAAAAAUGAAGCCGUACAGUAUGUAUUCAUUUGUUCUGGCUCCUUUUGCUUAUUUGAGAUCCACCCAUAUUAUCGCAUUUAUCAAGAACUCAUUCCUAUUUAUUGCUGAGUAGUAUUCCAUUUUAUAGAUAAAUACCAAUUCGUUUCUCCAUUUACCUGUUAAGGGACAUUGGGUUAUUUCCAUUUCUUGACUACUACAAGUGUAUAUAGCUGAUACUAAACUUUCAUGUACGGUUCUUAUAUGGACAAAUGCCUUCAUUUCUCUUGGUUAAAUAUUUAGGAAUGGAAUGGCUAGAUCAUAUGAUAAGUGCAUGUUUAAUGUUUUAAGAAACUAGCAAGGAGUUUUCCAAAACAUUUGUACAAUUUUCUAUUUCCAAAAGCAAUGUACAAGAGCUCCAGUUGCUCUAUGUCCUUCCCCAAGACUAGGUAUGAUCAGCAUUUUAAAUUUUGGGAUAUCUAAUAAGCAGGUAGUGGGAUCUCAUUUUUGUUUUAAUUUGCAAAUCUCUAAGGACUAACGGUAUUAAACAUUUUUGCAUAUGCUUCUUUGCCAUCUAUAGAUCUUCUUUGGUGAAAUCUGUUCAAAUCAUUUGCUCAUUUUUAAAAAUAAAAGAUUGAGGCCAGAGUGCGGUGGCUCAUGCCUAUAAUCCUGGCACUUUGGGAGGCUGAGGCAGGAGGAUCACUGGAGCCCAGGAGUUCAAGACCUGCCUGGGCACUAUACAGUGGGACCCUGUCUCUACAAAAAAUUUCAAAAAUUGUUGGGACAUGUUGGCACAUGACUGUAGUCCCAGCUACUUGGGAGGCUGAGGUGGGAGGAUCACUUGAGCCUAGGAGGUGGAGGCUGCAGUGAACCAU
Molecule: long non-coding RNA, 1999 nt
Filed under: Homo sapiens (human)
Lineage: Eukaryota; Metazoa; Chordata; Mammalia; Primates; Hominidae
Description: HSALNT0243434
Source: RNAcentral